RNAcentral lists this transfer RNA (84 nucleotides) under Candidatus Protochlamydia amoebophila UWE25. RNAcentral describes it as "tRNA-Leu (TAA) (tRNA-Leu-TAA-1-1)". It matches the Rfam family "tRNA". Rfam says of the family: Transfer RNA (tRNA) molecules are approximately 80 nucleotides in length. The record is from Rfam by way of RNAcentral. RNAcentral also lists the same sequence under 1 other name. Lineage: Bacteria; Pseudomonadati; Chlamydiota; Chlamydiia; Parachlamydiales; Parachlamydiaceae.
GCUCGGGUGGUGGAAUGGUAGACACAAGAGACUUAAAAUCUCUUGCUCAUUUUGGGCGUGAAGGUUCGAGUCCUUUCCCGAGCA